UACGGAGGGUGCAAGCGUUAUCCGGAUUUACUGGGCUUAAAGGGUGCGUAGGCGGGUCUGUAAGUCAGUGGUGAAAUCUCCGGGCUUAACCCGGAAACUGCCAUUGAUACUAUAGGUCUUGAAUAUCCUGGAGGUGAGCGGAAUAUGUCAUGUAGCGGUGAAAUGCUUAGAUAUGACAUAGAACACCAAUUGCGAAGGCAGCUCACUACGGGAUUAUUGACACUGAGGCACGAAAGCGUGGGGAUCAAACAGG
RNAcentral lists this ribosomal RNA (253 nucleotides) under uncultured bacterium. RNAcentral's name for it is "partial 16S ribosomal RNA". It matches the Rfam family "Bacterial small subunit ribosomal RNA", at positions 524 to 776 of the family's 1533-position model. The record is from RNAcentral.